AAAAAUUGGGAAACCUCAGUAAGCCAGCGUUUUUCUCGUCAAAG
This 44-nucleotide small RNA is filed under the name Arabidopsis thaliana (thale cress). Its description in RNAcentral is "ATSL084350". Lineage: Eukaryota; Viridiplantae; Streptophyta; Magnoliopsida; Brassicales; Brassicaceae. The record is from RNAcentral.